UGGGGAAUAUUGGACAAUGGGCGAAAGCCUGAUCCAGCCAUGCCGCGUGUGUGAAGAAGGUCUUCGGAUUGUAAAGCACUUUAAGUUGGGAGGAAGGGCAUUAACCUAAUACGUUAGUGUUUUGACGUUACCGACAGAAUAAGCACCGGCAAACUCUGUGCCAGCAGCCGCGGUAAUACAGAGGGUGCAAGCGUUAAUCGGAAUUACUGGGCGUAAAGCGCGCGUAGGUGGUUUGUUAAGUUGGAUGUGAAAUCCCCGGGCUCAACCUGGGAACUGCAUUCAAAACUGACUGACUAGAGUAUGGUAGAGGGUGGUGGAAUUUCCUGUGUAGCGGUGAAAUGCGUAGAUAUAGGAAGGAACACCAGUGGCGAAGGCGACCACCUGGACUAAUACUGACACUGAGGUGCGAAAGCGUGGGGAGCAAACA
Molecule: ribosomal RNA, 427 nt
Filed under: uncultured bacterium
Lineage: Bacteria
Description: partial 16S ribosomal RNA
Rfam family: Bacterial small subunit ribosomal RNA
Source: RNAcentral